AGACGCAGGGUGUAGUCUCCUGCGAGUCCAUCUUGAUUUGGAAGGCUGCGGGAGGAGGUGGCCGAGACCCCUUCCCUAGACCGCGAGGCAGGACGGAGGCAGCCGUUAGGAACGGCCCCACUCCACCAGCCGGCCCCGCGGGACGGUUACUCUGUUCCUGAGGUACCCCCCGAGAUUGUCUGUGGGGUCAGAAACAGCUCUGGAGGGGUCUGCAGAAAUUACUUUCCCAAGUCUUUGGGCUGGAAGGAACGAACAGUGCCUGACCAAGGACUUUGAGCAGGAGAGAGAUGGGAGCAGAGAGGAGCCAAGGUUGGCUGUGAUAGGUGUCCCUGGCCACGUCAGUGGAGCACCCAGGCCUCAAGCAGCAUGCUGGGGAAGGGAAAACCCCCCAUUCUGGUGAUGGAGGUGGCCAUGACCAUGUCUGGUUUUCAAAGGCAGCUUUGUAAGAACAGAAACCAGCAGCUCCCCAACAUCUGGCCCUAUCUGCUGUGCAAACCACAGGGACCAGGACCUUUCCGGGGUGCCAGUGGCAUCCUCUGGAACCAGCUUCUCAGUGGAAUUUCAGAUGCUAUUCCUGGUCAAUUGCCUUUGCUAUGUGCUAUCCUUUAAUAAAUUCUGUUUC
This is a long non-coding RNA of Homo sapiens (human), 622 nucleotides long. Ensembl annotates it as long intergenic non-protein coding RNA 1016. Lineage: Eukaryota; Metazoa; Chordata; Mammalia; Primates; Hominidae. The record is from Ensembl.